ACGGGGCCGCACAGCGUGGAGCAUGUGGUUUAAUUACGAUGAUACGCGAGGAACCUUACCUGGGCUCAAAUGUAUGUUGACGUAUUCUGAAAGGGAUACUUCUUCGGACAAUAUACAAGGUGCUGCAUGGUUGUCGUCAGCUCGUGCCGUGAGGUGUCGGGUUAAGUCCCAUAACGAGCGCAACCCCUAUCAUUAGUUGCCAUCAGGUCAAGCUGGGGACUCUAAUGAAACUGCCUACGCAAGUAGUGAGGAAGUGGGGAUGACGUCAAAUCAGCACGGCCCUUACGUCCAGGGCUACACACGUGCUACAAUGGCCGGUACAAAGGGCAGCUACCUGGUGACAGGAUGCUAAUCUCAAAAGCCGGUCUCAGUUCGGAUCGGGGUCUGCAACCCGACUCCGUGAAGCUGGAAUCGCUAGCAAUCGCGCAUCAGCCAUGGCGCGGUGAAUACGUUCCCGGGCCUU
RNAcentral lists this ribosomal RNA (463 nucleotides) under uncultured Sphingobacteriales bacterium. Its description in RNAcentral is "bacterial SSU rRNA". It matches the Rfam family "Bacterial small subunit ribosomal RNA", at positions 917 to 1381 of the family's 1533-position model. Lineage: Bacteria; Pseudomonadati; Bacteroidota; Sphingobacteriia; Sphingobacteriales. The record is from RNAcentral.